UUUUAAAGCUGGCGUCUUCGACGCCCGCGUUGUAAUUUGGAGAGGCAUCUUCGGUUUGGGCGCCAGCCUAUGUUCCUUGGAACAGGACGUCACAGAGGGUGAGAAUCCCGUGCUUGGCUGGCUGUCCCUUGCCAUGUGAAGUGCCUUCGACGAGUCGAGUUGUUUGGGAAUGCAGCUCAAAAUGGGUGGUAAAUUCCAUCUAAAGCUAAAUAUUGGCGGGAGACCGAUAGCGCACAAGUAGAGUGAUCGAAAGAUGAAAAGCACUUUGAAAAUAGAGUUAAAAAGUACGUGAAAUUGUUGAAAGGGAAGCGCUUGAGACCAGACUCGGCCGGAGAUGAUCAGCCGUCCUUCUGGGCGGUGCACUUGUCUCCGGUCGGGCCAGCAUCGGUUGAGACGGCGGGAUAAAGGCCCGGGGAAUGUGGCUCCUUUCGGGGAGUGUUAUAGCCCCGGACGCAAUGCCGCCAGCCUCGACCGAGGACCGCGCUUUUUGCUAGGAUGCUGGCGUAAUGGUCUUCAGCGACCCGUCUUGAAACACGGACCAAGGAGUCUAACAUCUAUGCGAGUGUUUGGGUGUCAAACCCUUGCGCGUAAUGAAAGUGAACGGAGGUGGGAACCCCCUCGCGGGGCGCACCAUCGACCGGUCCUGAUGUCUUCGGAUGGAUCUGAGUAGGAGCAUAGCUGUUGGGACCCGAAAGAUGGUGAACUAUGCCUGAAUAGGGUGAAGCCAGAGGAAACUCUGGUGGAGGCUCGCAGCGGUUCUGACGUGCAAAUCGAUCGUCAAAUUUGGG
RNAcentral lists this ribosomal RNA (788 nucleotides) under Paragyromitra infula. RNAcentral's name for it is "LSU rRNA". It matches the Rfam family "Eukaryotic large subunit ribosomal RNA", at positions 114 to 915 of the family's 3401-position model. Lineage: Eukaryota; Fungi; Ascomycota; Pezizomycetes; Pezizales; Discinaceae. The record is from RNAcentral.